Molecule: long non-coding RNA, 2094 nt
Filed under: Anthonomus grandis grandis
Lineage: Eukaryota; Metazoa; Arthropoda; Insecta; Coleoptera; Curculionidae
Description: uncharacterized LOC126743753
Source: RNAcentral
AACACGCAGUGGGGAAGAGACCUGCCGUAUCCUCAUAAGGCUCUGAGUUCAAACCUUAGCCUCGGCAUGGUGCUCUACCCAACUUUUUCUUUUUUUAGUACUUGGAAAACAUUAACAUCUAUAAUAAAUCCAAAAAUCUCAUCCAUUAUUCUCUAAGAGACCAACAUACAAAAUUGACGAAACACAAAGUCACGGUCUCACAACAUGUAAUUAAACGGGCUACACGUGUUUCGCUCUAGUUAGAGCAUCAUCAGGCCUUUAGAAGCCAUCCACACACUUAUGCUGUAACUGAUGAUGCUCUAACUAGAGCGAAACACGUGUAGCCCGUUUAAUUACAUGUUGUGAGACCGUGACUUUGUGUUUUUCUUUGUUUUUCGUCAAUCUAUAGUAAAUACAGAGAGAAAAGGAAAGGUCUUAUUAUAUAUUAUAAUCAAAAAUAAAUUUCAUUGAAAUAUUACUAACUUAUUUCUGGGUAUCAUGCUUCAGAGAACCAUGAUGUGUUACAAUACGCUCCGCUCUUUAAUUUUAGUUUAGUAGAAAAUAUUCUCAAAACCUACAUAUAUCAAAAUUAUGUCAGGGUUCUAAAAUGAAUCGGUAAUAAAAUCGUAAACCAGAUCAACAUUGGAAAUAAUUUAAAAAAUUUGCUUUGGUCCGAUUGAAAAAAGUACUAUACUACCAAAUAGUUACAUCUAUUCUGUAGCAAUAAAAGUUAUAAAAUUCUGUCUAUUAUUAAUUUUAAUAUUAUAAAGUGUAUCGUUUAACUCUUAGCCAUUAUUUAUAAUUUAAUUGUUAAUUAUGCCUAAAAAAACGAAUUAACAAUUUUGGUAUUGUUUGGAAGGUAAACAGCUUAAUUCCUUUAUGUAAAGCCACCUUAACAUGUUUUUGCAUAAUUCUGACUCACGUUGGUUGCUAUCGGGCUUAAGCCAUAAAAAUCGAAGAAAAAAAGAAGAAGACGAAGAGACUUUCACUUGUCAUUUCAAUGUCACUUUCCGGCCCACAAGCAUAAACGCCACCGGCAACGGAAGUUCCCAAAAUCCAAACAAAUGUUGGAAGAUAUUUUUAAGUCUCCGCAUCUUUCUUACUUUCCUAUAUGAAAAUAAAAUGUAAGUAUCACAAUUACACACAUACAAGUUUUUUUUUUUAAUUCAGUUUCAUAAUUACCAAUUUUUAGUGAAUAAUCCUGAAAUUUAUGAAAAUACAUACAUUUUAAGGUUAUGUCAUAAUGUUUUGAUUGUUAUAUUUGAUUUUGUUUUUGUUAUUUUAGUGGACUACACCAACAAAGGUUAUGUGUUUUGCACCAGAUUGAAAGCAUCAUAGCGAAAAACGGACCUGUCAUAUCUUUAAAUUUUCAAAAGAGCCCCUGGAAAAAGAAAAAUGAAUAUCUUUGCCAAGGAAUAGGUACUAAGGCAAAUGGAUAAAAAACCUUCAGUCCAUGCAUUGGUAUGUAAUUGUUGACAAAAAUACAAUGAAUGGCCUCACUACUUUUCCACAUGCAAAGAGGUUAACCAAGGAGAAAUUAAAGAAAUUGUCAAAAACCUAGGUAAAUACAGAAUUGCUUAGUACAAACAUAUCUAUACCCAGUACAAGUUCGUCCACUUCUUUGAAGCAUGGUACUUCAAACAGAAACACUGUCAACAAUUUUGUAGAAGGUGAGCCGGUGUCAAAUUCCAGUAAGGGACAUGAUUUCAAUUUUGCACCAACAGCAGAGCUAAAAUUCAUUUUGCCGCAAAAAACUGGAGGAUGUGAAAGAAAAAAGUGCAGAAGUUAAAAUUAAGUUUUUCAUAUGAGCACAUAAAAAAUAAUCAUGACAAAGUUCAGUUGUAUACAGGUUUGACAUGUAAUAAAUAUUUUUGUAAUCUUAUUAAGUUAAUUAGUUUUAUAUAUUAUUUAAAUAAUAAUUGAAUACUUCACAUAGAAUAUGCAGAAAUUAUAUGUACAUAUAUAAAUUUUUUUAUUAAGAUAAGGACAACAUGUAUUAAAGCAUAACACAUAAUAUAAACACACACGUAAUAUCUUCAUUAAAAAUUAUGAUUGUAUGUUAUGUAGCAUUAGAGCCUAAAAACAUUAAGGAGAAUAAAGGUCGUUAUUGGCAAA